Molecule: long non-coding RNA, 290 nt
Filed under: Citrus x clementina
Lineage: Eukaryota; Viridiplantae; Streptophyta; Magnoliopsida; Sapindales; Rutaceae
Description: Citrus clementina (C. clementina) long non-coding RNA (CCLE_LNC006874)
Source: RNAcentral
CAAAUCCCAAUGGCCGUAGAAACUGAAACGCCGUCGUCCGCGGGGCCGGCGUCGUCUUCGUCGUCGUCAACAACCUCACAUCAACAAUCCUCCACUACGUCGUCAACAACCUCACAUCAGCCAUCCUCUACUACAUCUCCGCCUGAGCCCAGUCUCAAGCAACCCCAGGUUUUACGAAUUUUCUGUUAAUUUUCAUAAUUGUAUUACCUUUUUUUCUAUUUUGAUUACGUUAUUAUAAGCCAACUGGAGAUCGCGUUGUCUGUUUUAUCUUCUAUUUAAUGUAAUCAUGG